RNAcentral lists this ribosomal RNA (228 nucleotides) under uncultured bacterium. Its description in RNAcentral is "partial 16S ribosomal RNA". It matches the Rfam family "Bacterial small subunit ribosomal RNA", at positions 568 to 795 of the family's 1533-position model. The record is from RNAcentral.
GGUGCAGGCGGUGAUGUAAGUCGGAUGUGAAAGCCCGGGGCCCAACCCCGGAACUGCAUUCGAUACUGCAUCACUAGAGUCCCGGAGAGGAAGGCGGAAUUCCCGGUGUAGAGGUGAAAUUCGUAGAUAUCGGGAGGAACACCAGUGGCGAAGGCGGCCUUCUGGACGGUGACUGACGCUCAGACCCGAAAGCGUGGGGAGCAAACAGGAUUAGAUACCCUGGUAGUC